RNAcentral lists this ribosomal RNA (488 nucleotides) under uncultured bacterium. RNAcentral describes it as "bacterial SSU rRNA". It matches the Rfam family "Bacterial small subunit ribosomal RNA", at positions 28 to 507 of the family's 1533-position model. The record is from RNAcentral.
GAUGAACGCUAGCGACAGGCUUAACACAUGCAAGUCGAGGGGCAGCGAGAAAGUGCUUGCACUUUUGUCGGCGACCGGCGCACGGGUGAGUAACACGUAUGCAACCUGCCCUUGUCAGGGGGAUAAGCGGGGGAAACCCCGUCUAAUACCGCAUAUAUGAUUUGGAGGCAUCUCUGAAUCAGGAAAGAAUUAUCGGACAAGGAUGGGCAUGCGGGACAUUAGGUAGUUGGGGGUGUAACGGGACCACCAAGCCGACGAUGUCUAGGGGUUCUGAGAGGAAGGUCCCCCACACUGGUACUGAGACACGGACCAGACUCCUACGGGAGGCAGCAGUGAGGAAUAUUGGUCAAUGGGCGAGAGCCUGAACCAGCCAAGUCGCGUGAGGGAUGACGGUACUAAGUAAUUGGUAAACCCUCUUUUUGUCAGGGAACAAAGAGACCACGUGUGGUAAGAUGAGUGUACUGAAGAAAAGCAUCGGCUAAUCCGUG